This 263-nucleotide ribosomal RNA is filed under the name uncultured bacterium. Its description in RNAcentral is "partial 16S ribosomal RNA". It matches the Rfam family "Bacterial small subunit ribosomal RNA", at positions 793 to 1055 of the family's 1533-position model. The record is from RNAcentral.
GUCCACGCCCUAAACGAUGUCUACUAGUUGUUGGUGGAGUAAAUCCAUGAGUAACGCAGCUAACGCGUGAAGUAGACCGCCUGGGGAGUACUGUCGCAAGAUUAAAACUCAAAUGAAUUGACGGGGCCCGCACAAGCGGUGGAUUAUGUGGAUUAAUUCGAUGCAACGCGAAAACCUUACCUGGCCUUGACAUGUAACGAACUUUCCAGAGAUGGAUUGGUGCUCGAAAGAGAGCGUUAACACAGGUGCUGCAUGGCUGUCGU